AGUGGCGGACGGGUGAGUAACACGUAAGAAUUUGCCUUUAGGAGGGGGACAACAACUAGAAAUGGUUGCUAAUACCCCAUAUGCUUUCGAGUGAAAUGGAUUUUUCCGCCUAGAGAGAAGCUUGCGGCUGAUUAGCUUGUUGGUGAGGUAAUGGCUCACCAAGGCGACGAUCAGUAUCUGGUUUGAGGGGACGAUCAGACACACUGGAACUGAGACACGGUCCAGACUCCUACGGGAGGCAGCAGUGGGGAAUUUUCCGCAAUGGGCGAAAGCCUGACGGAGCAAUACCGCGUGAGGGAUGACGGCCUAUGGGUUGUAAACCUCUUUUUUCAGGGAGGAAUCAAUGACGUGUACCUGAAGAAUAAGCAUCGGCUAACUCCGUGCCAGCAGCCGCGGUAAGACGGGGGAUGCAAGUGUUAUCCGGAAUCACUGGGCGUAAAGCGUCUGUAGGUGGUCCAAUAAGUCAACUGUUAAAUCUUGAGGCUCAACCUCAAAAUCGCAGUCGAAACUAUUAGACUAGAGUAUAGUAGGGGUAAAGGGAAUUUCCAGUGGAGCGGUGAAAUGCGUAGAGAUUGGAAAGAACACCGAUGGCGAAGGCACUUUACUGGGCUAUUACUAACACUCAGAGACGAAAGCUAGGGUAGCAAAUGGGAUUAGAUACCCCAGUAGUCCUAGCCGUAAACAAUGGAUACUAGAUGUU
This 700-nucleotide ribosomal RNA is filed under the name uncultured bacterium. Its description in RNAcentral is "bacterial SSU rRNA". It matches the Rfam family "Bacterial small subunit ribosomal RNA", at positions 94 to 824 of the family's 1533-position model. The record is from RNAcentral.